This 394-nucleotide ribosomal RNA is filed under the name uncultured bacterium. RNAcentral's name for it is "bacterial SSU rRNA". It matches the Rfam family "Bacterial small subunit ribosomal RNA", at positions 28 to 421 of the family's 1533-position model. The record is from RNAcentral.
GAUCAACGCUGGCGGCGUGCAUGAGACAUGCGAGUCGAACGGACACUCAGGGCUUGCUCUGUGUGUUAGUGGCGGACGGCUGAGUAACGCGUAGGUGACCUGCCCCGAAGUGGGGAAUAACUGCCCGAAAGGGUGGCUAAUACCGCAUGUGGUGAUGCGUUCAUUCGCAUCAGUAAAGCCGCAAGGCGCUUCGGGAGGGGCCUGCGUCCGAUUAGCUCGUUGGUGGGGUAACGGCUCACCAAGGCGACGAUCGGUAGGUGGUCUGAGAGGACGAUCACCCAGACUGGGACUGAGACACGGCCCAGACUCCUACGGGAGGCAGCAGUCGGGAAUUUUGCGCAAUGGACGAAAAGUCUGACGCAGCAAACGCCGCGUGAGGGAUGACGGCCUGUGU